UACGGAGGGUGCGAGCGUUGUUCGGAUUCAUUGGGCGUAAAGGGUGCGUAGGCGGCGCGGUAAGUCGGGUGUGAAAUCUCGGAGCUUAACUCCGAAACUGCAUUCGAUACUGCCGUGCUUGAGGACUGGAGAGGGGACUGGAAUUUACGGUGUAGCGGUGAAAUGCGUAGAUAUCGUAAGGAAGACCAGUGGCGAAGGCGGGUCUCUGGACAGUUCCUGACGCUGAGGCACGAAGGUCAGGGGAGCAAACAGG
RNAcentral lists this ribosomal RNA (253 nucleotides) under uncultured bacterium. Its description in RNAcentral is "partial 16S ribosomal RNA". It matches the Rfam family "Bacterial small subunit ribosomal RNA", at positions 524 to 776 of the family's 1533-position model. The record is from RNAcentral.